This 465-nucleotide ribosomal RNA is filed under the name Vreelandella stevensii. RNAcentral's name for it is "partial 16S ribosomal RNA". It matches the Rfam family "Bacterial small subunit ribosomal RNA", at positions 338 to 795 of the family's 1533-position model. The record is from RNAcentral. Lineage: Bacteria; Pseudomonadati; Pseudomonadota; Gammaproteobacteria; Oceanospirillales; Halomonadaceae.
CCUACGGGGGGCUGCAGUGGGGAAUAUUGGACAAUGGGGGGAACCCUGAUCCAGCCAUGCCGCGUGUGUGAAUAAGGCCCUCGGGUUGUAAAGCACUUUCAGUGAGGAAGAACGCCUGGUGGUUAAUACCCAUCAGGAAAGACAUCACUCACAGAAGAAGCACCGGCUAACUCCGUGCCAGCAGCCGCGGUAAUACGGAGGGUGCGAGCGUUAAUCGGAAUUACUGGGCGUAAAGCGCGCGUAGGUGGCUUGAUAAGCCGGUUGUGAAAGCCCCGGGCUCAACCUGGGAACGGCAUCCGGAACUGUCAAGCUAGAGUGCAGGAGAGGAAGGUAGAAUUCCCGGUGUAGCGGUGAAAUGCGUAGAGAUCGGGAGGAAUACCAGUGGCGAAGGCGGCCUUCUGGACUGACACUGACACUGAGGUGCGAAAGCGUGGGUAGCAAACAGGAUUAGAUACCCGUGUAGUC